RNAcentral lists this ribosomal RNA (501 nucleotides) under uncultured bacterium. RNAcentral's name for it is "partial 16S ribosomal RNA". It matches the Rfam family "Bacterial small subunit ribosomal RNA", at positions 29 to 523 of the family's 1533-position model. The record is from RNAcentral.
AUUGAACGCUGGCGGCAUGCCUUACACAUGCAAGUCGAACGGCAGCACGGGUGCUUGCACCUGGUGGCGAGUGGCGAACGGGUGAGUAAUACAUCGGAACGUACCUUAUCGUGGGGGAUAACGCAGCGAAAGCUGUGAUAAUACCGCAUACGCCCUGAUGGGGAAAGCGGGGGAUCGCAAGACCUCGCGCGAUUAGAGCGGCCGAUGCCCGAUUAGCUUGUUGGUGGGGUAAAAGCCCACCAAGGCGACGAUCAGUAGCUGGUCUGAGAGGACGAUCAGCCACACUGGGACUGAGACACGGCCCAGACUCCUACGGGAGGCAGCAGUGGGGAAUUUUGGACAAUGGGGGCAACCCUGAUCCAGCAAUGCCGCGUGAGUGAAGAAGGCCUUCGGGUUGUAAAGCUCUUUUGUCAGGGAAGAAACACCGGCUCUAACACAGUCCGGGAAUGACGGUACCUGAAGAAUAAGCACCGGCUAACUACGUGCCAGCCGCCGCGGUAA